AUUGAACGCUGGCGGCAGGCCUAACACAUGCAAGUCGAGCGGAUGAAGGGAGCUUGCUCCUGGAUUCAGCGGCGGACGGGCGAGUAAGGCCUAGGAAUCUGCCUGGUAGUGGGGGAUAACGUCCGGAAACGGGCGCUAAUACCGCAUACGUCCUGAUGGAGAAAGUGGGGGAUCUUCGGACCUCACGCUAUCAGAUGAGCCUAGGUCGGAUUAGCUAGUUGGUGGGGUAAAGGCCUACCAAGGCGACGAUCCGUAACUGGUCUGAGAGGAUGAUCAGUCACACUGGAACUGAGACACGGUCCAGACUCCUACGGGAGGCAGCAGUGGGGAAUAUUGGACAAUGGGCGAAAGCCUGAUCCAGCCAUGCCGCGUGUGUGAAGAAGGUCUUCGGAUUGUAAAGCACUUUAAGUUGGGAGGAAGGGCAGUAAGUUAAUACCUUGCUGUUUUGACGUUACCAACAGAAUAAGCACCGGCUAACUUCGUG
This 484-nucleotide ribosomal RNA is filed under the name uncultured bacterium. RNAcentral's name for it is "partial 16S ribosomal RNA". It matches the Rfam family "Bacterial small subunit ribosomal RNA", at positions 30 to 507 of the family's 1533-position model. The record is from RNAcentral.